CGUCCCAGUCGGUGCGGCUGGCGGGCAUGGCGGCUUUGGCCAGGCCGGCAACGAUCGCCGGUUCGGAGCGGACAUGGGGCGA
RNAcentral lists this transfer RNA (82 nucleotides) under Sphingobium yanoikuyae. RNAcentral's name for it is "tRNA-Ala". The record is from RNAcentral. Lineage: Bacteria; Pseudomonadati; Pseudomonadota; Alphaproteobacteria; Sphingomonadales; Sphingobiaceae.